GAUGAACGCUGGCGGCGUGCCUAAUACAUGCAAGUCGAGCGAACAGAUAAGGAGCUUGCUCCUUUGACGUUAGCGGCGGACGGGAGAGUAACACGUGGGUAACCUACCUAUAAGACUGGGAUAACUUCGGGAAACCGGAGCUAAUACCGGAUAACAUUUGGAACCGCAUGGUUCUAAAGUGAAAGAUGGUUUUGCUAUCACUUAUAGAUGGACCCGCGCCGUAUUAGCUAGUUGGUAAGGUAACGGCUUACCAAGGCGACGAUACGUAGCCGACCUGAGAGGGUGAUCGGCCACACUGGAACUGAGACACGGUCCAGACUCCUACGGGAGGCAGCAGUAGGGAAUCUUCCGCAAUGGGCGAAAGCCUGACGGAGCAACGCCGCGUGAGUGAUGAAGGGUUUCGGCUCGUAAAACUCUGUUAUUAGGGAAGAACAAAUGUGUAAGUAACUGUGCACGUCUUGACGGUACCUAAUCAGAAAGCCACGGCUAACUACGUG
RNAcentral lists this ribosomal RNA (497 nucleotides) under uncultured bacterium. RNAcentral describes it as "partial 16S ribosomal RNA". It matches the Rfam family "Bacterial small subunit ribosomal RNA", at positions 28 to 507 of the family's 1533-position model. The record is from RNAcentral.